RNAcentral lists this long non-coding RNA (628 nucleotides) under Capra hircus (goat). RNAcentral's name for it is "lncRNA (ENSCHIG00010009360.1)". The record is from RNAcentral. Lineage: Eukaryota; Metazoa; Chordata; Mammalia; Artiodactyla; Bovidae.
CAUCCAUGGGAUUUCCCAGGCAAGAGUACUGGAGUGGGGUGCCAUUGAAAGACUCUAAAUAGCAAGCAAUACCAACAGAAUCCCCUUGACAGCUCUGGUCAGCAGUUCACAAGUUAGUAGGUGAACCUUGCCAUGUGUUCCCUAAGUUUGGGCUCAGCUGGGAAAAUCCUGUGUGCAGGGCUACUCUGCUCUAUGUGGAGGCAUUGCGGCCAAACAGGAUACUAUGCCCAGAGCAGACAUCUGUGCUUAUUCACCUAGAGAAGCAGGGAAAGGCCAGGAAGAGGCGGGAGGAAGGAGGAGGAGGAAGGCAGACAAAAAAACUGAUAAAGGGAAGGAGUAGGUCCCCAGUUCACCCCUACAGGGUAUAAAGUCUCUUCCCUUCUCAAAAUUUAACACCUCCUGGGAUGGUUGAGCCCAGUCCCACCUCUGAAGGGCUUUCAUUAAGACCAUUCUGGAGCUGGUCUGAGUUCUGAUCCAGAUCCAUGCUUCCUCAGACUCUGUCCACACCUCAACAGUGUUUAGCAUAUAAUCCUGUUCUAACCUACCCACAAAUAAGGCAGUUUUAAGGGAAGGGCCUAAAUAUUCAUUGGAAGGACUGAUGCUGAAGCUGAGGCUCCAAUGCUUUGGC